AGUGAACGCUGGCGGUAGGCCUAACACAUGCAAGUCGAACGGCAGCACAGCAGUAGCAAUACUGUGGGUGGCGAGUGGCGGACGGGUGAGGAAUACAUCGGAAUCUACCUUUUCGUGGGGGAGUAACGUAGGGAACGUUACGCUAUACCGCAUACGACCUUAGGGUGAAGUAGGGAGUCGCAAGACCUUACGCGGAUAGAUGAGCCGAUGUCGGAUUAGCUAGUUGGCGGGGGUAAAGGGACCCG
RNAcentral lists this ribosomal RNA (245 nucleotides) under uncultured bacterium. Its description in RNAcentral is "partial 16S ribosomal RNA". It matches the Rfam family "Bacterial small subunit ribosomal RNA", at positions 29 to 267 of the family's 1533-position model. The record is from RNAcentral.